This 71-nucleotide transfer RNA is filed under the name Marmota marmota marmota (Alpine marmot). It matches the Rfam family "tRNA". Rfam says of the family: Transfer RNA (tRNA) molecules are approximately 80 nucleotides in length. Their secondary structure includes four short double-helical elements and three loops (D, anti-codon, and T loops). Lineage: Eukaryota; Metazoa; Chordata; Mammalia; Rodentia; Sciuridae. The record is from Rfam by way of RNAcentral. RNAcentral also lists the same sequence under 1 other name.
GGGGAUAUGGCUCAGUUGGUAGAGUGCUUGCCUCAUGUACAAGGUCCUGGGUUCAAUUCCCAGCACCACCU